GCCGUGCCAACCAGCUUGAUGAAAUGUCUGAGAGCUCUGAGGAGGAGGGUCAGAUUGUGAACAAAGAAAGGGUUAGGGAAGAGAAGGGAGAGGAUGAGAGAUUGCGGCGUGGAGGAAGAGAAGAUGAAGGAGAUGGUUGGGGUGGUAGGGAUUCUCGUCCAGGGAAUAACCAGGGUGAAAGGUGGGGGAAGAAGGAGAGUCAUAGAUUGCAUCAUGGCGAUAGAUGGCAUGGAGGUGAGGAGCACGGUGACCGGAACUCUUCUUACCAUUCCCAGCACCGUGCCGUUGAUACCUAUACCUUAACUCAUCCUCAGAUUCGCUACCACUGCGCUUCCUCAUGUCAUCCUCACUCGACUCGUUGUUGCUUCUUCUAGCCAUACAAACCCUAAUUCAAUUCGACGGAAGCCAAAUCCAAAAUCGAAGAACACAGAGAAAGCACAAAUUUCAAAGACUUCACUUCGAGCACGCGAUAAAAAUAACUGCAUCGAGGGUGUUGGAGGUGCCGAGGGUGGGAAGGUUUCCUGCGUUGUCGGAGAGGGUGAGGCCGAUUUGGAUCAGGUGGAGGCGAUCCACGUUGGCUUUGAGCAUGGCGUAGUGCGCGGCGGGUUAGCGAUGGCGGAAAGAGGGGUCACAAGCGUAGGAGCGUACAUCAGAAUACCUCACAAUCCGGUUGCCAUCAUUAAAUCUGGUCCAUUUAAUAUUUUUAUUAUUAAAUCGGAUGGACCCAAAUGACUACUACCUUUUUUGUUAACUUACGUAAGGUGCGAAAGGAGUUUCACUUUUGCACCCUAGAAUUCGCUGAAAUAGAAAAGGGCACACAUCUCCAACUACUAUCUGCUAAAUAAGAAAGGGCAGCUUAUUUUGAAUUGUCAUGUAUUGCUAUUGCUUGCUGCCAACACAUAAACAUAACAAAAUGUCACUGCCAACAAGGUUAAGGUUUUCUGUCUCUCCUUCCAUUCCCAAUUUUUCCUCUUUUCUUUGAAACUCCUUACAUUCUCACUUUCAUUCUCAGCCCCCAUCCAUUUAAAAUGUUGACGAUGCCGUUUCCCAAUUCAAUCGCAUGCUGUGUAUGUGUCAUACCCCACCCAUCAUCCAAUUUAACAAGAUUUUAGAUUCCUUUGCGAAGAUGAAGCACUAUUCCACUGCUGUUUCCCUUUCUCACCGAUUGGAACUCAAGGGAAUUCAGCCUGACCUUUUUACUUUGAAUAUUCUCAUUAAUUGUUUCUGUCAUAUGGGUCAAAUUACUUUCAAUUUCUCUAUAUUGGCCAAGAUUCUCAAGAGGGGUUACCAUCCCGACACCAUAACCUUCACAACACUGAUCAACGGUCUGUGCCUUAAAGGACAAGUCAACAAAGCACUGCACUUUCACGAUAAGCUAUUAGCACAAGGAUUUCAACUCAACCAAGUUAGUUAUGGGACUUUGAUCAAUGGAGUAUGCAAGAUAGGAGACACAAGAGCUGCCAUCAAGUUGCUGAGAAAGAUUGAUGGACGACUGACUAAACCUGACGUGGUAAUGUACAACACAAUUAUUGAUGCCCUGUGCAAACAUCAACUUGUAAGUAAGGCUUAUGGUUUAUUUUUUGAAAUGAAUGUCAAGGGAAUUUCUGCUGAUGUUGUCACUUAUAAUACUCUAAUAUAUGGCUUUUGCAUCGUGGGUAAGUUGAAAGAAGCAAUUGGUUUGUUAAAUAAAAUGGUAUUGAAAACUAUCAACCCAAAUGUCCGUACCUAUAAUAUACUGGUUGAUGCAUUAUGUAAAGAAGGAAAGGUGAAAGAAGCCAAAAAUUUUUUAGCUGUCACGCUGAAAGCAUGUGUGAAAUACUUUAUUGGAUGGGUAUGUCUUAUUUAUAAAGUGAAGAAGGCAAAGCAUGUAUUGAAGAAUGUUAUUACUUAUAACGGAUUUUGUAAGAUUAAUUAAAAGGCUAUCAUGUAGAUAUCUGCACAUAUAAUUAUUGGAGAGAUUCGAGGGGUACACCUGUGGACCACGAACCACCACAUAAGGAAGCCUGACACCACAUUCUAACCCAAAACCUUAAGGCUCAGGUUUAUGGGUCUUCUCCUCACUUAUAUGAUGCUCAACUUUUCCACUUCUACCCAAUGUGGGACUUCACCUCACACUUGUACUCCAACACAUCUCCCCUUCAAGUGUGAAUCUCUUCCACAUGGUAGCCUCCCCCUUGAGGGGAAGUCAUCCACGAGUAUAACCAUUACUCGCACCGCCGCUCCAUCUGUGGGACACGCUGCCUGGACAUACCGCCACACCGCCAUCUUACUCGUUUGAGUCGGUCACAAAGUCGAACCAUUGGCUCUGAUACCAAUUAUUGGAGAAAUUUGAGGGGUACACCUGUGGACCGCGAGCCACCACAUAAGGAAACCUGACACCACAUUCUAACCCAAAACCUUAAGGCUCAAGUUUAUGGGUUUUCUCCUCACUUAUAUGGUGCUCAACCUUUUCACUUCUACCCAAUGUGGGACUUCACCUCACACUGAUACUCCAACAAUAAUGUUAUGAUCAAUGGGCAUUGUAAACAGGACCUGCUUGAUGAAUCAUUGUCCAUGCUGUCAAAAAUGGAAGACAAUGGAUGCAAGGCUAAUGCAGUAACUUUUGAAAUUAUCAUCAGUGCUCUCUUUGAAAAAGAUGAGAAUGAUAAGGUAGAAAAACUUCUUCAUGAAAUGAUUGCUAGAGGCUUGUUGUAAGACUAAACUAUGCGAGAACUUUCGAGUUACACGUGAAAAAGAAGAUGAACAAUGCAAUGGGCUCAAUAUCACUUUACUUUUGAUUAAAGGUGAUAUGUACUUAGCUUCAUUUUUUAUGUUAUAAAUAUAACAAUAGUCAAAUGAGUAUUGUCUUGAUUUAACCAUCCUUUUCCUUCUCAAUGUAUUGUGGAUGCUUGCUUUAAUGAUUUACUCAGUCACUCCUCAUUGUUAGUGUUUAAGUUGUCAAACUAAUCUGAAACUGACAUGAUUGUUUGAAAUGCUUUAUCUCUUAUAGUUGACUUUGUUUACCUAAAAGCAUAGAAAGAAAAAACAUAAGCAUAAGACAAUGCUGUCAUGUAUGAUACAAACAUGACAGUCUUCAGAUGUUAAAUUUGCACAAAGGAGGCGAACAUAUGGUGAAUAGGCCAAACAGUUUGGUGAAGGAUGGAAGUAGACCCAUUGUUUCUAAUGGUUUCUUCAUACAUGGAUUGCCUAGGCCCCUAUUCACAUGUCCAAAUGAAGGAAUUUUAAUUUCUCCUGGAUUAUAUCCGCACUAGGUAAUCACAACAACUCAAAGAAAAGAAGGCUGGUCAAUUCAAAAUCAUAUAUUAGUAACCAUGCAAUUUUAAUGGACUUUGGGCAUAAGCCAAUUUGCUAAAGUCUGAAUUUUUUGUUCCUUUUCGUUUGUGUGCUAAUACUUUCAUAGCAUAUGUGUUAUGUUAGAAAGUCAUCUUAAUUGCAGCCUCUUUGGAGCACCUACACUAUGAUGGGCGUGAGGUGGGGGGGUAAAGUUUAGGCAAUUCUCACCUUAUAAACAGUUUUUCUAGGGCUGAGUUUGACCCUAAGCCCAAAUUCUAAUUCUAAUAUGUUACAUACAAGAUUGUUUGUGUCAGUUUUAUUGCUAUAUGCUAAGUAUCAAUAACUUUAUAUGUUAGCAUGAUUUUAUACUGCUGCAGGAGCUUUUGAUUGGGUUUAUCUCUAGCUAUCUACAUUGUUGAGAGUGGUACAACAUCAUUGCUUAGAAUCAUCAAUGCACCUUUCCAUCACGAGCUCUACUUCGCUGUUGCUAAUCAACCUUGCUUGAUGUUCUAAUUGAUGCAAUGUAUUCAAAGCCUUCCAAUUACAGCCACUUCAUUUGCAGACAUCAAAUUAAAAAAGUUAUGCUAGAAGGAAAAAUAGCAAGCACAAGGUUGGUUUCUGUAUUCUCACACUAGGGUUAGUUGAAGUUGUUAACAGGUAAAUUUAACAGUGAUUUAGUUAGAGAUCCUAACCAAAUUGAAAGAGAGGGAGAAGCCAGAAGGUAUAAAUAAGAGAGGGUUAGAUUGGAUUUGGAUAGUGUUGUUGGUUGGAAAGGAGAGAUAGUACUCCUGGAGGUCUGUGAGUUACUUUUUUUCCAUGUUCCCACUUGAUUCUGCAAUCAUAUUGAUUUAGAUUCAGGGACAAAAGUGAUUUUCAACAUAAGUCCGAUUCUUUACUUUUCUCAUUUGAUUCCUAUUACAGUCAUGGUUGCUUCUGGUCUGUAUAUAUUAGAUUUUUAAUGUAAAACUACACCAGGGCUAAGAAAUACAAGCAUCUAUAUUUCUUCUAAUAUUUAUAUUGAUAUUCUAAAUCUUAAUAAAAUUGAAGAUAUAUCAUGUCGCACUUUGAUUCCUCAGAGAGGAUUGCAGCGGCAAUUUGAAUUUAUAGUGUAGAUAUCGAACAUGUUAAAAGUUGCAUGAGAUUAUCAGGUCAAACUUGCCAGUUUCCACAACAUGUGAAAAAUUGUCACGACAGGAAAGCAAUUCAAAGAUUUUAGUUGUUUUGGAUGAUGAUCCGACAGGAAAACAAACUGUUCAUGAUAUUGAAUAUUUGACAGAAUGGUAAGUUUAUUUCAUUUUCUUCAGUUAUUUCCAAUUUCUUGGCAGAAUCAAUGCAUAUCAUAUUUCAUACAGUACUAUCUCAAACCAAACUACCAAAGCACUGGUUUUUCUUUUAAUUAGUUCUAUUUUUAGUCAAUUUCUCAUUUAAUAAUAAUUUUUCAUCAUGAGAUUGGAAUUGAAAGCAAGAUCUUCCUGAAGAAAAUCUCAAGUUUUAUGUUUCCAUACAGGACCAUUGAGUCACUGAUUGAGCAGUUUAGAAAAAGUCCAAAAUGCUUUUCAUUUUGAAAAAUUCCAGGUCACUCUGAGUUCUGACAAGGUAAAAAAUCUUAGCCCACAUUCACCAACCAAUCCAGGAUUUUUUAUCCAGUUAAACAGGAAAAUAUACUGCUAUUUUGAUCUCUCUUCUGUAAGAAAUCCACUUAUAACCAUGGAUGAAAUUUUGAAGAACUCUAUUUAUAGGUAAAAUAGGCCAAGUGUUUGAGUUACAAAUAGGAAGAGGUGGGGUGGGGGUCAAAUUUUCUUUAUUUUAUUUGUAACAUUUUUAAAGAAAAAGUUAAUAUUUUUUAAUUAAUUACUUUAAUGAUGCUAUUUGUAUUUGGCCAUCACAAUUAAAUUGAAUUACUUACUUUAAUGAUGCUAUUUGUAUUUGGCCACAACAAUUAAAUAAACCUAGCUCCACCAUUUGUCCCAUCGUUGCUCUGCAAACGGAAAAGCAAGCUAUUGAAGUACAAAGAAAAAGUGUCUUCAUUAGUGGCAUGCAAUAUUUGAGCUGAAUAAAGUUUUGAACUGUAAUAGAGGCAACACUUUAAUUAUAAGUAAGUAACAUACCAUAAAUCACCUAAGGAGCUGGAGUUCAAGCUACGGGAUAUUUCAAUAACCAGCAAUAUCAAAUUCUAUCAAGUUCAUAAGUUUAUAGUUGAUCUUUGGCAGGCCAGUGUUAGAUAUUAAUUAGAAAAAUAAUAAUAACAAGUUUUAUGAGCCUUAAAUUGUGGAAGAUGAAAGUUGUAAGGUUGUAAGUUACAAAGUCUUGAAUAAGCAAUUAUGUGAGCAUUUAGUAUUUUUGAAUAAGCAAAUUAUGUGAGUGGUCACUCUAUUUUAGUAUAAAUAGGGGAUCAUACUCUUGUAUUUUGGGUGCCAAAUGAAAUAAAAUUUUCUUCUUCUUCCUACAAAGUGGUAUCAGAGCUUGAGUUCUAGAGUGUUGAGAGAGAAACACUUUGUGAGUUGAGAGAUAGCAAGCAAUGGCUUGAGUAUGUUUCAAUUCCCACGUCUUACCAAAGAGAAUUAUGAUAAUUGGUGUCAUCGCAUGAAAGCCUUGUUAGGUUCUCAAGAUGCAUGGGAGAUUGUAGAGAAAGGUUAUACCCAACCUCAAAAUGAGGCUAUUUUGUCACCAAAUGAGAAAGAGACUUUGUUGAAGUCGAAGAAGAAGGAUCAACAAGCACUUACUUUCAUUCAUCAAGGUUUGGAUGAAGCUAUGUUCGAGUUGGUGUCAAAUGCAACCACAUCCAAAGAAGCAUGGGAGAUUUUGAAAACCUCCCUUGAAGGUGUUGAUAAGGUAAAAAAGGUGCGCCUACAAACUCUACGUAGAGAGUUUGAAUCGUUGCAUAUGAAGGAAUCCGAAUCUAUCUCAGAUUUUGGCAACAAGGUGUUGGCUAUUGUGAACCAAAUGAAGCGUUAUGGAGAAAAUAUGGAAGAUGUUCGUGUGGUGGAAAAGAUCCUUCGCUCCUUAAUCGCUAAAUUUGAUUAUGUGGUUUGUGCUAUUGAAGAGUCUAAGGAUUUAGACUCAAUGACCGUAGACCAAUUGAUGGGUUCUCUUCAAGCCUAUAAAGAAAGGUUUAAUAGAAGAUAUGAUGAGCCAUUGGAGCAACUCCUCAAAGCCAAAGCUUCUUUGAAAGAAAAUGGAGGAGAAAGUAGUCAAAAAGCACGUGGACGUGGAAGAGGACGUGGUCAUGGCCAAGGAAGAGGAGGAAGAGGAGAUCGUGAUAAUUUUGACAAUAAUGAAUGGAGGAGCCAUCAAUCCACUAGAAGUUGUGGAAGAGGAAAAGGAAGAGGUAGAAACAAUUAUGAAAAAGCAUAUGAAAGGAGGUAUGAUAAAUCUAAUGUUGAAUGUUUUAAUUGUCAUAAAUAUGGCCAUUACUCUUGGGAGUGUAGAACAAAUGUUGAAGAGAAGGUCAAUCUUGUUGAUGAUAAAGAAGAUAAAGAAGUUGAAGAGUCAACACUACUACUAUCACUUAAUAAUGGUGAGAAGGAAGACAAAUGCUUAUGGUAUCUUGACAAUGGAGCAAGCAAUCACAUGUGUGGAUGCAAAGAGAAAUUUGUGGAACUUGAUGAGAAGCUGAAAGGAAAUAUUUCUUUUGGAGAUUCUUCCAAGGUGGAAAUCCAAGGAAAAGGUACCAUUUUAAUUUCUUUAAAAGAUGGUGCUCACAAAUUAAUCACGGAUGUUUACUAUAUUCCUAAACUAAAAAGCAAUAUUUUGAGUUUGGGACAACUUGUUGAAAAGGGGUAUGAAAUUCAUAUGAAAGAUUGUUGUUUAUGGCUUCGAGAUCAAAAUUCUAAUUUGAUUGCCAAGGUGUUUAUGUCAAGAAAUAGAAUGUUCACUUUGAACAUUAAAACCAAUGAAGCAAAAUGUUUGAAGGUUAGCAUAAAAGAUGAAUCAUGGUGUUGGCAUAUGAGAUUUGGGCAGUUGAAUUUUGGAGCACUAAAAUCCUUAGGAGAAGAGAAGAUGGUGAAAGGGAUGCCUCACAUCAACCAUCUUAAUCAAUUGUGUGAAGCAUGUCUCCUUGGAAAGCAUGCAAGAAGGAGUUUUCCAAAAGAAGUUAAUUCAAGAGCAAAAGAGCCUCUCCAACUUGUUUACACCGAUGUGUGUGGCCCAAUCAAUCCUCCUUCAUGUGGUAACAAUAAAUAUUUCUUGCUUUUUAUUGAUGAUUAUAGUAGAAAGACUUGGGUUUAUUUUCUAAAGCAAAAAUCUGAGGCAUUUGUAGCUUUUAAAAAUUUUAAAGCUCUUGUGAAAAAGGAGAGUGGUUAUGUAAUCAAGGCUCUAAGAUCCGAUAGAGGUGGCGAAUUCACAUCAAAAGAAUUUAAUGAAUUUUGUGAAAAAUAUGGGAUUCGUCGCCCUCUAACGGUUUAUAGAUCUCCACAACAAAAUGGGGUAGCGGAGAGAAAAAAUAAAACUAUUCUUAAUAUGACUAGAUGUAUGUUGAAGGCUAAAAAUAUGCCAAAGGAAUUUUGGGCCGAAGCUGUUGCAUAUGCCGUUUAUUUGUCCAAUCGCUCCCCAAUAAAGAAUGUCAAAGAUCAAACACCACAAGAAGCAUGGGGUAGAGUGAAGCCAAGAGUUGAUCACUUGAGAGUAUUUGGGAGCAUUGCAUAUGCUCAUGUACCCGACCAAGGAAGAUUCAAGCUUGAUGAUCGGAGUGAGAAACAUGUGUUCAUUGGCUAUGAUGCAAGCUCAAAAGGCUACAAAUUGUACAAUCCAAACAAUGGAAAGACAAUUGUGAGCCGAGAUGUCGAGUUCUAUGAAGAAGGCACAUGGAAUUGGGAGGAGAAAGAAGACACUUAUGAUUUUUUCCCGUACUUUGAAGAAAUAGAUGAAGAAGCCUUGACUCCAAAUGAUUCAACUCCAGCACUUUCACCAACUCCUUCAACCAAUGAAGCCUCAUCAUCUUCCGAAGGGAGUUCAAGUGAAAGGCCAAGAAGGAUGAGAAAUAUUCAAGAAUUAUAUGAUGAAGCUGAAGUUAUAAAUGAUUUGUUUUGUCUUUUUGUUGACAGUGAACCUUUAAACUUUGAUGAAGCAAUGAAAGACAAAAGGUGGAGACAAGCCAUGGAAGAAGAAAUCAAAGCCAUUGAGAAGAACAACACUUGGGAGUUAUCAAGUCUUCCCAAAGGUCAUGAAGCAAUUGGAGUCAAAUGGGUGUUCAAAAUCAAGAAGAAUGCAAAAGGAGAGGUUGAGAGACACAAAGCAAGACUUGUAGCUAAAGGUUAUAAGCAACAAUAUGGAGUUGAUUAUGAUGAAGUGUUUGCACCGGUUGCCCGCAUGGAGACCAUUCGUCUUCUUAUUUCCUUGGCAGCUCAAAUGAAGUGGAGAAUUUUUCAGCUUGAUGUAAAAUCGGCAUUUCUAAAUGGCUAUCUUGAAGAAGAUGUCUAUGUUGAACAACCAAUGGGUUUUGUCAUCGAAGGUCAAGAAGGAAAAGUCUUGAAAUUGAACAAAGCAUUGUAUGGUCUAAAGCAAGCACCGAGGGCAUGGAAUACUUGCAUUGACAAGUACUUCCAAGACAAUGGGUUUGUUCGUUGUCAAAAUGAGUAUGCUCUUUAUGUUAAAACUUUUAAUAAUGGAGAUGUCUUAUUUAUUUGUCUUUAUGUGGAUGACCUUAUCUUUACCGGCAAUAACCCAAAUUUGUUUGAAGACUUCAAGGAGUCCAUGUCUCGUGAAUUUGAUAUGACAGAUAUGGGACUCAUGUCAUAUUACUUGGGAAUGGAAGUGAAGCAAACGGAGAAUGGUAUCUUUGUCUCACAAGAAAGGUACACAAAAGAAGUGUUGAAGAAAUUUAAUAUGCUUGAUUGCAAUCCCGUGAACACACCUAUGGAAGGUGGCUUGAAGUUAUCAAAGUUUGAUGAAGGAGAGAAGGUAGACUCCACGGUCUUCAAGAGUCUUGUGGGGAGUUUAAGCUAUCUAACCAAUACAAGGCCCGAUAUUCUAUAUGCGGUGGGAGUUGUGUGUCGCUUUAUGGAGGCUCCUACCUCUCCUCAUC
Molecule: long non-coding RNA, 9295 nt
Filed under: Glycine max (soybean)
Lineage: Eukaryota; Viridiplantae; Streptophyta; Magnoliopsida; Fabales; Fabaceae
Description: long non-coding RNA (GMAX_LNC002039)
Source: RNAcentral